This 462-nucleotide ribosomal RNA is filed under the name uncultured Glomus. Its description in RNAcentral is "SSU rRNA". It matches the Rfam family "Eukaryotic small subunit ribosomal RNA", at positions 569 to 1037 of the family's 1831-position model. The record is from RNAcentral. Lineage: Eukaryota; Fungi; Glomeromycota; Glomeromycetes; Glomerales; Glomeraceae.
AGCAGCCGCGGUAAUUCCAGCUCCAAUAGCGUAUAUUAAAGUUGUUGCAGUUAAAAAGCUCGUAGUUGAAUUUCGGGAUCAAUAUGUUGGUCGUGCCUCGGUACGUACUAGCUUAUUGGUUUCUCCUUUCUGAAGAACCAUGAUGUCAUUUAUUUGGUGUCGUGGGGAAUCAGGACUGUUACUUUGAAAAAAUUAGAGUGUUUAAAGCAGGCUCACGCUUGAAUACAUUAGCAUGGAAUAAUGAAAUAGGACGUUUGAUUCUAUUUUGUUGGUUUCUAGGAUCGACGUAAUGAUUAAUAGGGAUAGUUGGGGGCAUUAGUAUUCAAUUGUCAGAGGUGAAAUUCUUGGAUUUAUUGAAGACUAACUACUGCGAAAGCAUUUGCCAAGGAUGUUUUCAUUAAUCAAGAACGAAAGUUAGGGGAUCGAAGACGAUCAGAUACCGUCGUAGUCUUAACCAUAAAC